RNAcentral lists this long non-coding RNA (339 nucleotides) under Calidris pugnax (ruff). RNAcentral describes it as "lncRNA (ENSCPUG00000012072.1)". The record is from RNAcentral. Lineage: Eukaryota; Metazoa; Chordata; Aves; Charadriiformes; Scolopacidae.
UUUCAAGAAAAGUUACACAAGAUGAGGUGACAAAUUCAUUCAGCCUACUCAUGGAUAUAACUCUUGUAUAAGCAGCAUAAUUCCACGCUUCGCCGGAUUCUAGGAGGUAUCAUCUGCCCUGCAGUUAACCAACUUGCCAAAGAAGUUGGCUACUUUCCCAGGAGCUCCAGAAAACCUGUGGCUGUUACCCCCUCCAUUUCAAGUGACAACAGUUUGUUGAGGAAGUAUUUGAAGAUAUAUGCAACAACUUUCUGAUAUUUGGUGAUAUUCUGAAGGAAAUUAAGGUAAGCAAAAAGACCAGAAAAUAAAAGUGAUAUGCCUCUAUGGAAAGUUGGUUUC